Molecule: long non-coding RNA, 217 nt
Filed under: Homo sapiens (human)
Lineage: Eukaryota; Metazoa; Chordata; Mammalia; Primates; Hominidae
Description: HSALNT0272133
Source: RNAcentral
GGGGCAACAGAACAUGCAUUUAAUGUUGGGUAUAAACUUUUAAUAAUUAGAAAACUGAGAAUGCCAAGAAACUAUUACAUGGCCAUGGUUGACCACAGGUAAUUGAAACCCUGGAAGGUGAAACUGCAGAUAAGGAGGACUACAGUGUUCAACUAUUUACAAAUAAUGACAGUGGCCACAAAGAUUACCUUGAAAAGAGACCGUGAGACAGUUUCAC